This 465-nucleotide ribosomal RNA is filed under the name uncultured bacterium. RNAcentral's name for it is "partial 16S ribosomal RNA". It matches the Rfam family "Bacterial small subunit ribosomal RNA", at positions 29 to 507 of the family's 1533-position model. The record is from RNAcentral.
AAUGAACGUUGGCGGCGUGGAUUAGGCAUGCAAGUCGAGCGAGAACCCCGCAAGGGGGGACAGCGGCGAAAGGGACAGUAAUGUGUAGAUUAUCUGCCCUCAGGUCCGGGAUAGCUGCGGGAAACUGCAGGUAAUACCGGAUAACAUCUCCGGAUCAAAGGUGUGAUUCCGCCUGAGGAUGAGUCUGCAUCCUAUUAGCUAGUUGGUGGGGUAAUGGCCUACCAAGGCAUUGAUGGGUAGCAGGUGUGAGAGCACGACCUGCGUCAUUGGGACUGAGACACUGCCCAGACACCGACGGGUGGCUGCAGUCGAGAAUCUGCGGCAAUGGGCGAAAGCCUGACCGAGCGACGCCGCGUGUGGGAUGAAGGCCUGCGGGUUGUAAACCACUGUCAGAGGGGAUGAAAUGCAGGUGGGUUCUCCCAUCUGUUUGACAUAGCCUCAGAGGAAGGACGGGCUAAGUUCGUG